Molecule: ribosomal RNA, 252 nt
Filed under: uncultured bacterium
Lineage: Bacteria
Description: partial 16S ribosomal RNA
Rfam family: Bacterial small subunit ribosomal RNA
Source: RNAcentral
UACGUAGGGAGCGAGCGUUAUCCGGAAUUAUUGGGUGUAAAGGGUGCGUAGGCGGCAUAAUAAGUCAGUGGUGAAAGCCCGGAGCUUAACUCCGGUAAGCCAUUGAAACUGUUAAGCUUGAGUAUGGUAGAGGCAAGCGGAAUUUCUAGUGUAGCGGUAAAAUGCGUAGAUAUUAGAAGGAACACCAGUGGCGAAGGCGGCUUGCUGGGCCAAAACUGACGCUGAGGCACGAAAGCGUGGGGAGCAAAUAGG